This 497-nucleotide ribosomal RNA is filed under the name uncultured bacterium. Its description in RNAcentral is "partial 16S ribosomal RNA". It matches the Rfam family "Bacterial small subunit ribosomal RNA", at positions 28 to 507 of the family's 1533-position model. The record is from RNAcentral.
GAUGAACGCUGGCGGCGUGCCUAAUACAUGCAAGUCGAGCGAACAGAUGAGGAGCUUGCUCCUCUGACGUUAGCGGCGGACGGGUGAGUAACACGUGGAUAACCUACCUCUAAGACUGGGAUAACUUCGGGAAACCGGAGCUAAUACCGGAUAAUAUAUUGAACCGCAUGGUUCAAUAGUGAAAGACGGUUUUGCUGUCACUUAUAGAUGGAUCCGCGCCGCAUUAGCUAGUUGGUAAGGUAACGGCUUACCAAGGCAACGAUGCGUAGCCGACCUGAGAGGGUGAUCGGCCACACUGGAACUGAGACACGGUCCAGACUCCUACGGGAGGCAGCAGUAGGGAAUCUUCCGCAAUGGGCGAAAGCCUGACGGAGCAACGCCGCGUGAGUGAUGAAGGUCUUCGGAUCGUAAAACUCUGUUAUUAGGGAAGAACAAAUGUGUAAGUAACUAUGAACGUCUUGACGGUACCUAAUCAGAAAGCCACGGCUAACUACGUG